UGGUAGCAGCCGUCCUAUUUUAGGGCCCUUAUUUUGACGGGGGGGUAUGUUCCUGCUGACUUGGGGUUCUUUCUCUCCCUGGCAUUUCCGUUUCCGUUCCCAUUCCUAUCCAGUUUAAUUUAGAGUGGGGCUGGUGUUGUUGGCGUGCGGCAAGCGGUGGCAGAGUUCGCUUGCAGCGACGAAGGCAAGUUGAAUGCUGGCCGGUAGACUGAGUUGCGGCACCGGUAGUGAGUAGCCAUACAGCGGUGCGUCUGGUGUUGGUUCAACAACUCGUAAAGGGGACAUAUCAAGAUUUCCAAGCCCUGUUCCUAGCCAAGGACUUCCUGCGAUGUCGCUGCUGUUUUGCUCAGGGAUAUUUUCUGGUUUUAUUUGAUCGUGUCGCGGACGGUCAUUUGUGUGGUUAAUGGGUUUGCGGCUCCGCGAGUCGUUGGGGGCUGUAACGUUAACUUCUGGGCAUUGUGUCCGCCAGGUUUUCUAUUAGUUUAAUUUCUUUGAUUUAAUUUCCUUUGUCAACAGAGUAAUUUGUUGCUAUAUUUGUUUGAUUAGUUUGGUGGCUAUUUUGUUUCUUUUGUAUUUGGGUUGCUUUAUUUUGUAGCUAUAUCUGUAGUAUUCAUUUGUUUUAUUUUUCUGGUUAUGUAUUUACUGUAAAGUGUUUCUUUAUUCAUGGAUUCAGUUUUCUAGUGCCAUUUAGGUGCUGGUUAUCUGUCUGUUUUGUACGUGUGUCAUCUGGAGGCCCGAGUGUCGAAGCUGCUACAACACAGUGUCUGUAAAAUUAGGUGUUUGUCUUUACUUAUAAUAUUUCAUAUGAUGUCUGUUUGAAUUUCGUUAUAAGUGUUUUUCUGUCUAGGGGCCAGUGAGGACUUGUGUGGAACAGGGUAGGCUAGCUGCUUUAUUCGGCGGUGUUUCACGGUGUGCUGUGGGUGCUCUGAUAUAACUUCCCUAGGACGGGUGUGUGUGGUAUCUGAUUUGCUGUGAACUGAGGUGGGUUUUGGACGACCUCCGGAGUUGCGGCCGGCCUGCCUUGUUCCCAUUAAUCCUGGCCCCGGAAGCUAUUCCUACCAUUGUGGGUGUGUUUCGUGAGAGAAUUUUAUUUGAUGCGGGUUAUUUUAUAAUAAAGUGUAUUUCUUGUAUCGAUACUCGCGUCUCCCUUGUCUCUUUGCCUUCAAUUGGUGAAAUUUACCUGUGUGUCCUUUUAUUGGGAAUUAUUUCCCUGGCCUCCCACCAGGGUGGCGUAGUCGGAUAAAUCUAAUUAUAUUAAUAUUUCCUUCCACUUGAUUCA
This is a long non-coding RNA of Sinocyclocheilus rhinocerous, 1279 nucleotides long. RefSeq lists it as uncharacterized. Lineage: Eukaryota; Metazoa; Chordata; Actinopteri; Cypriniformes; Cyprinidae. The transcript is spliced from 3 exons. The record is from RefSeq and is a predicted model, not a curated record.